CAGAAAGUAGUUUAUGUAAAAUAUUAGUUUUGGUGACUGAGGAUGGGAAUGAUUUCUUCUUUCUGA
Molecule: transfer RNA, 66 nt
Filed under: Macrobrachium rosenbergii (giant freshwater prawn)
Lineage: Eukaryota; Metazoa; Arthropoda; Malacostraca; Decapoda; Palaemonidae
Description: tRNA-Pro
Source: RNAcentral